GUUAGGAGGGCCCCACUGACAGGAGCUAGGGGCAAGAUUUUUAUAUAGAAGAUGUGGAAGCAAAGCAAACAAAUUAUUUUAUUGAUUACAGCUUAAGCAGUCACCUUAUUUGAGAAAGCCUAGUUGGCUGGGAUUGGUUGUUCUUAAUUUUCACUUUCUUGGAUUUGAGACAUUGACUCUGGCUUGUGUUUCUGUUCGGCUAUGUAGGCUAGCAAUGCAUUAGAGCCUCCUGAGUCUAAGGCCCUCCUUGUUUAAUUAUAACUUUAACACUAUCUUUGGCUCCCCGUAAGGUUGGAGGAGAAAGUCCUCAGAAUUUUUAGAGGCUCUAUUAUUUAAAGAAGAGGAUCAGUGUUUAGAGGGACUGUUGUCUGUUUGAAGUACCAUAACAAGUAUUUCUGUGGUCAUAACAGAGGGUGGUAUAGUCGAACUCUUACUGUCUUCUUUAGACUAUAUUUUCCUGACAAUGCCUUAAAUUUGAUCUCAGCUCAGAAAAUAUUUUUAACUUUUUAGAAUCUUUUGCUAACUGUAGACUGUGUGGAUGACAAAUGGCUUUAUUGUCAAACCCUGAAAGUUCUGGGCCCCUUAUGCUAAAAAAAAAAAAUUGUUUUCUUUAUCCUUUCUCUCUUCUUUCAUGUUUUACUAUGAGCAACCAGGAAAAGCCAGAUGACACUUUAACACUCUGUCUGGAAUGUUCUUAAGUAGAUCAUCAGGUUCAUUUUUCCUAUUUUUCAUGUUAACAAAGGUGACGGGAUCGUUAAAGUUUCCAUCUUCCAAUAACAUUUUUCUCACCUUCCUUUCAUCUCCCACCAACAUCCUCCUAAAAUGCCACCAAGCUUCCACCAACAGACUCUGAGGCUUUUUAGGCUCUCACUUACACUCUCCUCGAUGUCCUUCCAGUUUCUCCCACCACCUGGGCCUAAGCCAUUCUCACCUGCUCUAAGAGUUUUACUAUACCAGGAGUAGCACCACUGCUGGUACCCAAAUCUGUUCCAGGUUACUGAUCCACUUUUGGGUUUGUUUGGUUUUUGCUGUGUAUGGUGUGAUGUAGAAGUCCCACUUCAUUCUUUGGCUUGGAGAAACCAUUUGUCCCAGCACCAUUUGCUGAAGAGACUGUAUUUCCCCACUGAAUGGAUUUGACACUGAGUUUCUUCUUUUUUCAGUAUUGUUUGUGUUCUCUGGGGCUCCUUGUAAUUCAUAUGAAUUUGAGGAUUGGCUUUUCUGCAAAACAGGCUACUGGAAUUUUAAUAGAGAUUCCAUUGAAUUGGUAGGUCACUUUGGUUAGCAUUGCCAUUUAACAAUAUUAUGUCUGCCAAUCCAGGAACGUGAAAUGUCUUUUCACGUAUUCAGGUAUUCUUUCAUUUCUUUCAGCAAUGUUUUGUAGUUUUCAUUAUACAAUACUUUCACUUCUUUGAGUAAAUUUAUUCUCAGGUAUUAUAUUCAUUUGGAUGCUAUUAUAAAUGAAAUUGUGUUCUUAACUUCCUUUUCAGAGGGUUAGUUUCUGAUGUAUGGAAGCAAAAAUAAUAUUUGUGUGUGAUGUUGAACCCUGCAACUUUGCUGAAUUUGUUUAUUAACUAUAGUAGUUUUGUUUUCUUUUUUGGUUGAUUCUUUGGGAUUUUCUACAUUUAGGAUCCAGUCAUCUGGGAAGAGAUGGUUUUACUUCUUACUUUAAAUUUGGAUGCCUUUUAUUUCUUUUUCUUGGUAAUUGUUUUGGUUUUAUAUCUUCCAGCACAAGGUUGACUAGCAGUGGUGAGAGGAGGCACCUUGUUCUGUUCCUGACCUUAGGGGAAAACAUUUCAGUCUUUCACCGUUGAGUGACGUCACCUGUGAGGUUAGAAUGUGCUUCUCUUACACUGUAGAACUGUUACCUGAGUUUGUUUAAAAUAACGGAUUGGAGCUACCAUGUUAGUAUUGCAAGAAAAUGUCUCUGUACUAUGUUGGCCUCUAAAAAAAGGAACAACCAUUUCACAGGUGAAGAGGCUUAACUUACUUUCCUGAAGAUAAAAAUCUCUUCAAAUCACUGGUCCAACAUAAUCUUGAAAAUACUCUCUGCUAGAACCUAGAGGAUUUGCAUAGACAUAAGUUCUGAAAGCUGGAAGUCUGAGAUCAAGGUGCCAGCAUGGCUGGGUUCUGACAAGAACCAUCUUCCUGGCUUGUGCAUGGCUGCCUUCUCACUGUGUGCUCACAUGGACUCUCCCCCGUGGGUGUCUGGAGAGACAGAGAGAGAGCAAACUCUCCGAUGUCUCUUCUUGCGUGGACACUAAUUGCAUCAGAUCAGAGCUCCACCCAUACAACCUCGCUGAACCUUAAUCACCUCCGUAAAAGCCCUCUCUCUAAUAUAGUCAGAUGAGGGAGAGGUCAGAGCUUCAACAUAGGAAUUUUCUAGGCAGACAAUUCAGUCCAUAGCAAGUAAUCGUCCUACUAUGCGUCACGGAAAGACUGAGAUCACUGAGAAAUCAUCCUGGGUGUCCCUUUGGAGCAGUUCCAUAAUUAGUGACCCCAUUCUAUUACUUCAACAAAUAGUUUCUAUUCCAGGUACUGUUUAGGGGCCAAGUAUAAAUCAUGAACAAAGGAGAACUAACUGUUGCUCUCUUAUAUUUGGUAUGAUACAUACUUAUAAAGAAAAAUUUCCUGAUACGAAAAGAUUGUAGAAUGAGGAAAGUCUUCUCUGAGAAUAUUUAAGUUGAGACUUAGGAUGGAUGGAAAGAUGCUCACAAUGCCUGCUGGACAUCUCAGCAAAUCAGAGGACCAACAAGUUUCUGAGCCAGAGCUUGUGGCUGUGCAGUCUGCAGGAGGGCAACCAGGAGCAGGAGAAGGUGGAGCCGUGCUGGCAGGCAGUCUUCCAACUGCAUGUCGACCUGGAGCUGCCGGCAAGUGUUUGUUUACUGGUGUCUGCUAUGCUCCUGGAGCCCCCUUGCAUGGCAGUCAGGAAUUUUUGGAGGACGCACACACUCAAUCUACAGCAGCUAUCUGUUUGAAACUUCAUCUAACCUAUAUAGGAAAGAAAUACUGAAUUUGAUACAGUUUAGAUUUCCUUAUUUUGGAGAAUGACUUCAUAAUCUUAGAGUAAAUGAUAAACAUCAAACUUUCAGCUGUUGAAGCCAUAUAAUCGUGUGAAAAAAAACUGAAGAAGUGCCAGAGCCUUAUAGCGUUUGCCCAUGGCCCUGAAAUAAAGCAGUUAUAAAAAUAUAUAUAUAGGGGCUGGCCCCGUGGCCGAGUGGUUAAGUUCGCGUGCUCCGCUGCAGGCGGCCCAGUGUUUCGUUGGUUCGAAUCCUGGGCGCGGACAUGGCACUGCUCAUCAGACCACGCUGAGGCAGCGUCCCACAUGCCACAACUAAAAGGACCCACAACGAAGAAUAUACAACUAUGUACUGGGGGGCUUUGGGGAGAAAAAGGAAAAAAAAAUAAAAUAUUAAAAAAAUAUAUAUAUAUAUACAAAA
This is a long non-coding RNA of Equus caballus (horse), 3437 nucleotides long. NCBI's taxonomy places the organism in Eukaryota, Metazoa, Chordata, Mammalia, Perissodactyla, Equidae. The record is from Ensembl.